RNAcentral lists this long non-coding RNA (33438 nucleotides) under Gossypium barbadense (sea-island cotton). Its description in RNAcentral is "long non-coding RNA (GBAR_LNC020720)". The record is from RNAcentral. Lineage: Eukaryota; Viridiplantae; Streptophyta; Magnoliopsida; Malvales; Malvaceae.
UUGUGUUAAUUUAUUCAAUGUUGGAGUAAACUAUCAGUAUGUUUGAAUAGAAAUAAUUGUGUGUUAAACAUGUUAACUUACUUUGGAUAAUUGACAAACUGUUUAGGCGGAUAAUAAUAAAGUUAUACAAAAGCGUGGCGUAUAGUCAUCUGGCGAAUAGAUUUUGGGCGGGAAUUUUCUAGUAGAUCACCUUAGCAUGUUUUGUUUUUUUUUUAAUCGUACAACAUUUUAACGACUUUAAAAAUAGAUUUCUUUGAUGGUUUUGUUUUGUGAAUGUCUCUAUUCUACUGUAGCAUCUCGUAAUUUAGGCCCGAUGACCAAGCCAGACGAAUGGUGUUACACUUCUCUUUUUACAAUAAGGCGAACCUGUCAUCCACUAGAAUUAUGCCAUGGUUAGUCAUGGACCUUCGACUCCAAUGAGUCAUUAAACAUUCUCAUUGUAUCGCUCCAUAAAGCUAGUGUACAGCCCAAAUUUUCCCGGGCCUCCAAACCAAAUGGUCCAAAUCCAUUUACAAAAUUUUAACCCAAUCCUGAAGCCUAAUUACAAUACCCGGCCCAAAGCCCAACAGCCCCAAAAAAACCUAAUGGUCAAACUAGGGUUUUAGUUUUCUGAAACCCUAAUCUCUACUGUAGGUGGCCGCUAGUCCCAUCAUCACCCUACCUCCGCGCCAUCGACCCUGGUCACCUCAGCCACCUGCUUUCUGCCCACCUGCAAAACGAAAAAGAACACGCAAUGGCAGCCCAAAUAGCAGAGAAGCAAUAACAAACAGAGAAAAAGCAAAUAGGCAUUUUGGCUAUAAAAUCAAGAAAUUCAAUGUAAUCAGGGGGCAAAAUCACUGUAAUCGGGGGUAUUUUUCUUUUAUUUUGUUCUUCUUUUCUUUCGGUUAAAACCGAAUCUGCUGUAAGGAAGAAGAAGUUAUUCCUUUGCUUCUACGAUUAUUGAGAAAUAAAAACAAAAACAAAACAAACUUUUGAAGUUUUUUUUUUUUAGAUUUGCGUUUAUGUUUAUUUCAUUUUAUUUUAUUUUUAUUUUAUUUUCUACAUAAGAAAUAAAUAAUAAAAAGGGAAGGACGAGGACUUACCUGCGCCGUCGCCGGACCUAAAUCGGAAAGAGGGUGGGUUGAGUCUCUCAUCUUCGCUUUUAGGGAUCGAAAAACCCAUAUAUUUAGGUUCAUAUUAGAGCUCGGAAAUAGGGGACCUCCUCUCGCCGUGUCGGCCUUUGGCAGGGGUGACUGCACGGCGAAUCGCCGUCAAGGUUGGCGCCGGAUCUCAGAGGGCCAAAAGGGAUGGAGGCUCUGCUUUUUUUUUUAUUUUUUUGAGGCUGCUGAAAUAAACUAGGGUUUUUUUAAGGGAUUUUAAAAGCUUCAUUAAACGGCGCCGUUUUGGUGUUUGGCCCGUGACCCGACCCAAUGGCCCCUAGGAUCCGCGUGUUUCUGCGGUGAGGGGAUAUUUUGCGCGCAAGGCCCUUCCUCUUUGAGCUGUAGUGCAAUCGGGUCUUUCUGGUUUUUAUAUUUUGGCCGCAUAAUUUUUUGAUAGUUCCAUUUUUGUCCGAAAUGGAACACUGAGCUUGAGGGAGGGGAAUAUUUCCUAAUCGAUCCCUCAUCCCUUAAGCGUGUUUCAUUUUAGCCUCAAAUUACCCUUUUUACUUAUUUAUGUUUCAACCCCCAAAGUUCACCUUAAGUUUUAAUUUAAUCCUUUUGUAUUUUGUUUAUUUUCCUAUUAAAUAAUAAAUUUGAUGUUAUACUAUUGUUAAUUAUUAUUGCUGUUACUUGCUCAUUUAUACCUUUAAAAUUUUAAAUUUUAUCAUAUAUAUAUAUGUAUAUCUUUAUCUUUAUUUUUUAUAUUUUCAUAUUUUAUAAUUUGUAUCUAUGUAUCUAUAUACAUACUUUUAUUCCUAUAAAAAUAUACGCAUACCUAUAUGUUCUACAUUUUCAUAUAUUUUUACACACAUAUAUUUUUAUGCUUUAUAUUUCUAACAUACGUACAUAUAUAUAUAUAUAUAUUUUUAUAUAAUUUUAUUCAUUAUUAUUGUUUCACUUGGUGUUCAUUUAUUUAUUUAUUUACAUGCUCAUUAUUAUUAUUAUUUACUUAAGUGUUUUAGUUUGUAUUCGCAAAUCUACUUUUAUUUGUGUAUACAUUGUUGAUUUCUUUUUAUUAUACAUUUACCAUCUUAUUUAUCCUUUUUAUUUGCAUGUAUUAUUUUAUUUACAUUAUCAUCAUCAUUCCAUUACCCCCAUUUUUUUUAUUUAGAUUUAAAAAAAAUUUAAAAAUAUAAGUAAUAUUCGGUAUUUAGGAUCUUCGAGAGAAUCGAGCCCUAACGUAUUGAGUUUCGACUUUCUGCGUUGAAUUUAAAUAAUCGAGAUUACUCUUUUAAAAAUGAUAAAAAGCUCGUUAUCGAGAAUUCAAUACAUUGUGUCCUAACGCAUUGGACGUGACACGUUGUUUUCUCGAGACGAAGAUUUUUCGAAAUAAAUGCAAUAUUCAAUGUUUAAUAUUUUGAGAAAUUGUGCCCUAACGUAUUAGGUUGUGAUUUCUUCAUUUGAUUUAAGCAAUUAAAUAUUAUUUUAAACUUUAUUACACGAAUAUUUUCAAACUCAAGUAUUAAACGAUAUUGGGAUUUAAAAAAGGAUCAUGUCCUAACUUACUGGUCGUGAUCCUUUUUUUUAAUCCAAAAUAGUUAAAUAUCUUUUAAAUAAGUAAAUUUUUGACAUUUAUUCGUGUAUUAGGAAUUCGAGACAUUGUGUCCUAACUUACUGGAUAUGAUGCUUGUUUUUUCGAUUAACGUGAAAUAUGCCCCAUUUUCUCAAAAUUUUCAACAUUUUAAUUCAAGGAUCGUAUUUUUAAAAUUCUUCAAAGUUUUCAAUUUUCGACAUUAAGACGUCAGCUAAUCAACUAGGUACCAAUUUUGGGCGUUACGAGGGUGCUAAUCCUUCCUCGUACAUAACCGACUCCCGAACCCGUUUUUCUGAAUUUUGUGGACCAAACUUGUUGUUUUAAUAAAAUCAAAUCAUUAUUAAAACAACCACUUUUCGAGGUGAUCCGCUCACACCUCAUAAAAAAGGAUCGGUGGCGACUCCCAUUUUCGUUUUCAUUUUUCAAAACCCAAGUCGACCCCAUUUUUGUCAAAAAAUAGUGUCAACAGCUUGGCGACUUCGCUGGGGACCAAAAUAAGUGAGUCAAGCCACGAGUUGAUUAAUCUUUAUCUUUUUGUCGAAAAUCGAAAACUUGGUUUAAAUAUACGAUCCUUUCGUUGCAUUUCACUCAUCUUUAUUACGAUAUUCAUCAUGGUGGUUUAUAAUUGCCCUGUUUGUUUAAAUUUGUGUAUCUUUCUGCACAUUGCAUUGCAUGACCGUUGGUCACACCCUUUUAAGUGGGAGUGAGAAGCUACGCCUUCGUGAGGUUUUCACCUCCGCAUGGGAUAGUGAAUCACUUUCGGGAUAUAUCCGUACCUAUGUCUUAGUGAGAUUUUCAUCUCCGCAUGGCCAUAGGGAAAUGUAUCCCCCUGAACUGAACCCAAUCUAUAUGACCCUAAUCGGUGAGGAUCGAGGAAUAUGCUGGUUCGGGUACCCUUACUUUAGAACCAAACCUCAUGUAGUGAACCUUAGGAGCCCACCCUAGGUAAAACCACUUCGAACCCUUAGUGGUCACCCGAAUAGGUGUUCUAUUUAUUCUUGCUUGAUUUUGCUUUGGACUAACUUGUUUUCUUUUUUUUUAUGACUGCAUUGCAUUUUCAUCAUAGAAAAGAGGUGUUGAUUCAAAUUUGAUUGCUAAAUAGAAAAGCUUGUCAUGGAAAACGAAUUUCUUGAUAAAGUAGGAUAUGAUGCGACUGCCUGACUAUGGACUGAUUAAACACAACGAGAGAAGGCUAGAAGUCCUUGGAGGAAUAUACGACUAUGCUUUGCCACUUGAGGAUUCAAACCGACAAAGAUAAUUUGAAACCAGUCACGAAACUAAAGAGCAUCGUGGGGGAGCAUUGGGUUGUAGCUCGGAUCAAACAAGAAGGAGAUAGUAGAGACAGAUUUUGGAAAUUCGUAAGAUUUGAUCUUAGCAUUCAUAUAAAGAAGGAGAUCAAUGUAUUCGCCUGGAAUAUGAGGGUAAAGCCACAUAUGUAAUCUAUUUUAUGUAAAGAAAUUUGUCUUCUAGAAAAGUUGCUCUAAUAGAAUUGAAUUCAGAAUCAAUGCCUCUCUUUCUUUUUGUAUUCAUUUCAUGCAUUUGUAUUACAGUGCAUCAUUUGCAUUAGAUUUUCACAAAAUGACCUAAUUAGGUAAAAUUAUUUCAGCUAACCUGGAAACUAAUAAGAGUCAACCAAUCGAACAUCACUACGGUACCCGUCUCAAGAGAAAAGUAAUGGAUUAGAGGUUAGAAAGAUUGGAACAAUUGCAAAAAGAAAUGCAAGAUAAGAUGCAAGAACAAUUGGAUAAAAUCCAACAAGACGCGCUGGAAUCCCAAAGAAUUAUGAGCCAACUGACACAAUUAUUGGCUGAUAAAGGAAAGAGCCCUGUAAUCAAUUCGGGAUUUGAUCAGGAGGGCCCUGUUUAUCCUCCAAGUUUUGCCCCAACGGACACUCAAGCACAACCGGAUAUGUAUCCACAUAGAGCGCGUGAUCGCAUUAGACCUCAAUGCCAAGUCGGUGCCUCGGCACCAAUGAACUACCUGACAGGCUCAGGUUCCAAUCAAAGGAACGAUCCAACCAAUCUUGUAGUUCCUGAUUUAGACAAAAUGGUAGAAGCAAGGGUAGAACUACCAAAGCAAUUCAAAGAUCAGUUUAGGUGGUUGGAAGAAAAACUCAAAGCAAUGGAGAAUGCUGAUUACCCUUGCAGGGUUGACGCCAAGGAUCUAAGUUUGGUCCCAAAUCUAGUACUCCCGCUGAAAUUCAAGGCUCCAGAAUUCAAAAAAUACAAUGGGACUAGUUGUCCUGAAGCUCACAUCACGAUGUUCUGCCGAAGAAUGACAAGAUAUAUUGAUAACGAUCAACUGUUAACUCAUUGCUUCCAAGAUAGUCUGAUCGGGUGGGCUGCCAAAUGGUACAACCAGUUGAGCCAUGCCAAUAUCCACUCAUGGAAAGACUUGGUACAGGCUUUCAUGAAGCAAUAUGGCCACGUGACAAACAUGGCACCUGACAUAGUUACACUACAGAACAUGGAAAAGAAGCAAAGUGAGAGCUUCAGAUAAUAUGCCCAAAGAUGGAGAGAGGUAGCAACGCAAGUCCAACCACCUCUUCUGGAAAAAGAAACCACGGUGCUUUUCGUCAACACUCUGAAAACCCCAUUCAUUAACCACAUGUUGGGAAGUGCUACCAUGAGCUUCUCAGAUAUGGUAAUGUCUGGCGAGAUGAUUGAGAAUGCCAUAAGAAGUGGAAAGAUAGAUACGAAAGAAAGCUUCAAAAGAUCAACCCCAAAGAACAAAGAAAAUAAAGUAAGCAACCUGAGCAUGUAUAAUGAAGGGUAUCCCAAAUCGAUCAUUAUGCCCCAACCAAGGGUCAUAACUAUCGGCUAUCACAGUAUUAAAAUCGUAUCCAAAAAGGGGGUUGGUUAGGAGAACACUUGGAAGCGUAUUUAAUAGUAAGACUAUGGAAGAGAUCCUUGUAUUUUUUGAGCUAAUUCGGAGUAAUGUCCAAAACACGCUUAUUGCUCUAAGCCUAGGGGCAAUAAGAAUCCUUUUGUGAGAUAGGCUUAUGUCGAACAUCUUUAUUUCAAUAAAAUGCAUCUUUGUUUCUCACUUCGAGUAAAUAUUCUUUUAUUGUUUCCAUUUCAUUCAUAAUCAUACUAUACAGAUAAAUAUUCGUAGAUUCUUUUAUUCUUUGGAUCUACUUUUAUCCUAUAACAGGUCUCCAGGUAUCAAUGAUAUGAGCAACACUGAUAUUGACUCAGAACCUCCUUUUGAGCAGGAUAUGUGUCUAGAGGAACCUCGGGACUUUGGAGAUAACUGAGACUAUAGCUUAUCUCCUGAUUUGUUCCGGAUGGUAGAACAAGAUCCUACCUUACAAGGAAUCUAUGGAAGUCAUGGCAUUCCUCUAUGUGGGGCAUGGAUGUCAUUGAGCCAAUCUCGCCUAAGGUUUUUGGCGAUCAUCAAUUCAUCUUUAUGAUCGUCGAUUAUCUCAAUAAGUGGGCAAAAGCUACUUCAUAUGCCGAUGUCACAAAGUCAACGGUCAGCAAAUUCCUGAAAAAGAAAUCAUAUGUCAGUAUGAAAUACCGAAAAGGAGCAUACCUGACAAUGCACUAAAAUUGAACAACGGCACGAUAUCAGAAGUUUGCAAUCUGUUCAAGGUUAACACAUUUCGCCCCAAAAUGUACGGCGCAGUGGGAGCAAAGAUAAAACAAAAAAGGAAGAGAAAAAACUGUUACCAAGGCAACACCUUGCCUUAUCGUAGUUUUUCUCAUUGAGGUCAAGAUUUUUUCUCUCCGAGUGUCGAAUCAGAUCUUGAUUGAAAAGAAAUGUUCAAAGUUAUCCGUCUUGGUCAAAGGCACCAAAAAAAAAAGACGCGAGCUCAUCAGAGAAGGUUCGCCCUAGAGAGUUCCAUGAAGGAGACCUAACAUCGAAGAAAAUCCUCCCCAUACAAAAAGGGCUUUAGCAGAAAGAAGAUGUCAAACUGAAAAAGACCUUAUGUGGAAGGUUUUAUCUAGAGAAGUGUUGAUUUUGACCAGAAAGGAUAGCAAGGACUUACCUGAUCCUACGAGUUCGAAUUCAAUCAAAGAAUGCAAAAAGAAAAAGAAAAAGAAAAAGAAAAAGGAGAGGCCAAGGUGAAAACCCACAAAGGGCGCCUUGAGACCAAAGGGGUUUUGAAUUGAAAACCCGGGAAUAGGCAAUUCAAAUUUUGAUCAAAGGUGGGGCAUGUGGCAACUUGUUCUCCCUGAAUUAGCAAGAAGGUGAGACGCUACAUCUCGGGGCAUCAACACAUUCUUCUAGGACUUCUAGACACAUAUCAAGUUCAAAAGGAUCCUCAAGAAGUUUGGGGCAGAGAAGCUCAUACUACGAUACCUGGGAUACCUACUUUCAUUUUAUUCAUUGUCAUAUUUUGACAAGUACAUCAUCUUGAUUAAUUUGCUAUCAUUUUUGUAUCUUAGCAAAAUUUGCUAUCUUGAUUAUUUAUUCAUUUCGAGCUUUGCCCUCAAUAAAAUUUCAUCUUAUCCAUUGUGAUAAUUUAAUUCAUUUCGUAUCUUAGCAAAAUUUUCCAUCUUAAUUUUAAGCUUUAUUCUCAAUAAAAUUCCAUAUUAUCUAUUGUGAUAAUCCUUUUCAUCAUAUUCAUUUUGAAUCUUAGCAAAAUUUGCUAUCUUGAUUAAUUUAUUCAUCGCGAGCUUUGUUCGCAAUAAAAUUUCAUCUUGUCCAUUUUGAUAAUUUUUUUCAAGCAUUUUUUAUUGAAAUAAUGAUUAAUGGACUGAUAAUAUUCAAGCAAAAGGAGUUUUUCAUAUUACUCUGAAAGCUUCUAAAUAAUACAGGAACCUGAAACAGGACUAUUGUUUAGAACACACCAAGUUUAAAGGUUGAAAUGUCUAAGAAUAAAAAGUCUAAAUUAAGACUAUCCUUUUAGAUUUUUUUUUUCAAGUAUGGGUUGAACGAAACGACGAAAUGUCGUGUUGGUGACAAAGCUUCAAUGAACAAACAAGCAAUGAUCACCGAGUGAUAAAAAGAGGUUAUUGGAAGAGAAAAUUCCACAAUGUUGCAUAAAAAUUUGGUACAACACCCUGGGAAUGGUGUAGAAGACCAAAGAGAUUUAGAUCCUGUAUCCCUGAAUUACAGUAGGAGAGGAUUGAGAAAGAGCCAGAUCUUAUACUCAGUGGGAGGAAGAUGGCUCGAACUUUAUGUCCCAAAAUUAUCGUGGGCUUAACCUUGAAGAUUACGACAGAUUAAACUUUGAAAAUUAUAGUAGGGGCAAUCCGAUCAAGUAAAAGAUGAGCAUUACCAACUGGACAAAAUAGCAUUUGGACAUGUUGGCAAUAAAGCCUUAUUGAGCAAUGGGCAAUAACAACUCAAACAUUGAAAGAUCAUUUUCAUUUUGCAUUCAUACAUACAUAUUUAGCCAGGAUAUUUUGAUUCAUUUCGAUCAUAAUCACUAGGCAUAAAUAGGUUCAUAAAAUAGAUUAUAUAGGUCAUGUUCCCCAAAGAACAGAUCAAUGAAGACGGCAGAUCUUGCCUUCCUGAACUGACAGUGAGGCAGAUCGAAGAAACCAUAGUUUGUAAUUAAAAGAUUGAAGCCACAACGGCGAAUCUUACUCUCCUAGGCGGUGCAAUGGAACAGAUUGAAGCCACAACGGCGAAUCUCACUUCCCCGACAUUGUAAUUAAAAGAUUGAGGCCACAACGGCGAAUCUUACCUUCCCAGGCGAUGUAGUGGAACAGAUUGAAGCUACAACGGUGAAUCUUGCUUCCCCGACACUGCAAUUAAAAGAUUGAAGCCACAACAGCAAAUCUUACUUUCCCAGGCGGUGCAGUGGAACAGAUUGAAGCUACAACGGUGAAUCUCGCUUCCCCGACAUUGCAAUUAAAAAUUGAAGCCACAACGGUAAAUCUUACUUUCCCAGGUGGUGCAACGGAACAGAUUGAAGCUACAACGACAAAUCUCGCUUCCCCGACAUUGCAAUUAAAAGAUUGAAGCCACAACGGCAAAUCUUACUUUCCCAGACAGUGCAAUGGAACAGAUUAAAGCUACAAUGGUGAAUCUUGCUUCCCCGACAUUGCAAUUGAAAGAUUGAAGCCACAACGGCGAAUCUUACUUUCCCAAGUGGUGCAGUAGAGCAAAUUAAAGCUACGACGGUGAAUCUUACUUCCCCGAUAUUGCAAUUAAAAAUAUUGAAGCUGCAACGGCGAAUCUUACUUCCCUGGCAGUACAGUGGAGCAGAUUAAAGCUACGACGGUGAAUCUUGCUUCCCUGAUUUUGCAAUUUAAAAGAUUGAAGCCGCAAUGAAGAAUCUUACUUCUCUGGCAGUGCAAUGGAGCAGAUUAAAGAUACGACGGCAAAUCUUGCUUCCCCGAUAUUGCAAUUUAAAAGAUUGAAGCCGCAAUGACGAAUCUUACUUCCUUGGCAGUGUAGUGGAACAGAUUGAAGCUACAACGACGAAUUUUGUUUCCCCGACAUUGCAGUUUAAAAAGAUUGAAGCUAUAUAUUGCAGAUAUUAUAUCUUUGAAGUUGCAGUAGAGUAGAUCAUAUCAAGUCUUAUCUCCCUGAAGUUGCAGUGGAGCAGACUGAAGAAACUAAUCCUAUCUCCCUAAAGUUGCAGUGGAGCGGAUUAAAAUCACAGAUCUUAUCUCUCUAAAGUUGCAGUAGAGUAGAUCACAUCCAAUCUUAUCUCCCUAAAGUUGCAGUGGAGCAGACUGAAGAAACUAAUCCUAUCUCCCUGAAGUUGCAGUGAAGCGGAUUAAAAUCACAGAUCUUAUCUCUCUAACGUUGCAGUAGAGCAGAUCACAUCCAAUCUUAUCUCCCUGAAGUUGCAGUGGAGCAGAUUGAAGAAACCAAUCAUAUCUUCCUGAAGUUACAGUGAAGCGGAUUAAAAUGAUAGGUCUUAUCUCUCUGAAGUUGCAGAAGAGCAGAUCACAUCAGACUUUAUGCAGUAAAGCAAGUCGAAAAUACCAAUCGUGUCUCCCUGAAGUUGCAGUGGAGUGGAUGAAAACGAUGAAUCAUAUACCUCUGAAGUUGCAGUAGGUCGAAUUGGAUCAAACCUUAUCUCCCUGAAGUCGCAGUGGAGUAGGUUGAAGAUACAAGUCUUAUCUCCCUGACGUUGUAGUGGAGCAGACUAGAACCACAAACAUCGCCCCCUUAAAGUUGCUGCGAAGAAGAUUGAAGCUACAAGUCAGAUCUUUCUGAAGUGCAGUGAAGUAGAUCGAAACAAUAAGACAAAGUGGACUGGAAGGAUGCUACUUGAAGAGAAGCGUCAAGAGAAGUCAAGACUCGGCGAGACCGGGAAAAUUUGGUCUUUCUUAGUCUUUGCUUCAUUCCCGUUACACGACAAUGAAGCAAAGAGGGGCAGCUGUACAGCCUAAAUUUUCCCGGGCCUCCAAACCAAACGGUCCUAAUCCAUUUACAAAAUUUUAACCCAAUCUCGAAGCCCAAUUACAAUACCCGGCCUAAAGCCCAACAGCCCCAAAAAAACCUAAUGGUCAAACUAGGGUUUCAGUUUUCUGAAACCCUAGUCUCUGCUGCAGGUGCGCCGCCAGUACCAUCACCCUACCGCCGCGCCAUCGACCCUGGUCACUUCAGCCACCUGCUUUCUGCCCACCUGCAAAACGAAAAAGAACACGCAAUGGCAGCCCAAAUAGCAGAGAAGCAGUAACAAACAGAGAAAAAGCAAAUAGGCAUUUUGGCUAUAAAAUCAAGAAAUUCAAUGUAAUCAGGGGGCAAAAUCACUGUAAUCGGGGGGAUUUUUCUUUUAUUUCUUUUAUUUUGUUCUUCUUUUCUUUCGGUUAAAACCGAAUCUGCUGUAAGGAAGAAGAAGUUUUUCCUUUGCUUCUACGAUUAUUGAGAAAUAAAAACAAAAACAAAACAAACUUUUGAAGGUUUUUUUUUAGAUUUGCGUUUCUGUUUAUUUAAUUUAAUUUUAUUUUUAUUUUAUCUUCUACAUAAGAAAUAAAUAAUAAAAAGGGAAGGACGAGGACUUACCUGCGCCGUCGCUUGACCUAAAUCGGAAAGAGGGUGGGUUGAGUCUCUCCUCUUCGCUUUUAGGGAUCGAAAAACCCAUAUAUUCGGGUUCAUAUUAGAGCUCGGAAAGGAGGGACCUCCUCGCGCCGCGUCGGCCUUUGGCCGCGGUGACUGCACGGCGAAUCGCCGUCGAGGUUGGCGCCGGAUCUCAGAGGGCCAAAAGGGAUGGAGGCUCUGCCUUUUUUUAUUUUUUUGAGGCUGCUGAAAUAAACUAGGUUUUUUUGAAGGGAUUUUAAAAGCUUCAUUAAACUACGUCGUUUUGGUGUUUGGCCCGUGAUCCGACCCGAUGGCCCCUAGGAUUCGCGUGUUUCUGCGGUGAGGGGAUAUUUUGCGCGCGAGGCCCUUCCUCUUUGAGCUGUAGUGCAAUCGGGUCUUUCUGGUUUUUAUAUUUUGGUCUCAUAAUUUUUUGAUAGUUCCAUUUUGGUCCGAAAUGGAACACUGCGCUUGAGGGAGGGGAAUAAUUCCUAAUCGAUCCCUCAUCCCUUAAGCGUGUUUCAUUUUAGCCUCAAAUUACCCUUUUUACUUAUUUAUGUUUCAACCCCCAAAGUUCACCUUAAGUUUUAAUUUAAUCCUUUUGUAUUUUGUUUAUUUUCCUAUUAAAUAAUAAACUUGAUGUUAUACUAUUAUUAAUUAUUAUUGCUGUUACUUGCUCAUUUAUACCUUUAAAAUUUUAAAUUUUAUCAUAUAUAUAUAUAUAUGUAUAUCUUUAUCUUUAUCUUUAUAUUUUUUAUAUUUUCAUAUUUUAUAAUUUGUAUCUAUGUAUCUAUAUACAUACUUUUAUUCCUAUAAAAAUAUACGCAUACCUAUAUGUUCUACAUUUUCAUAUAUUUUUACACACAUAUAUUUUUAUGCUUUAUAUUUCUAACAUACGUACAUAUAUAUAUAUUUUAUAUAAUUUUAUUCAUUAUUAUUGUUUCACUUGGUAUUCAUUUAUUUUUUUUAUUUUCAUGCUCAUUAUUAUUAUUUACUUAAGUGUUUUAGUUUGUAUUCGCAUAUCUACUUUUAUUUGUGUAUACAUUGUUGAUUUCUUUUUAUUAUACAUUUACCAUCUUAUUUAUCCUUUUUAUUUGCAUGUAUUAUUUUAUUUACAUUAUCAUCAUCAUUCCAUUACAUCCAUUUUUUUUAUUUAGAUUUAAAAAAAAAGAAAUUUUAAAAAUAUAAGUAAUAUUCGGUAUUUAGGAUCUUCGAGAGAAUUGAGCCCUAACGUAUUUAGUUUCGACUUUCUGCGUUGAAUUUAAAUAAUCGAGAUUACUCUUUUAAAAAUGAUAAAAAGCUCGUUAUUGAGAAUUCAAUACGUUGUGUCCUAAUGCAUUGGACGUGACACAUUGUUUUCUCGAGACGAAGAUUUUUCGAAAUAAAUGCAAUAUUCAAUGUUUAAUAUUUUGAGAAAUUGUGCCCUAACGUAUUGGGUUGUGAUUUCUUCAUUUGAUUUAAGCAAUUGAAUAUUCUUUUAAACUUUAUUACACGAAUCUUUUCAAACUCAAGUUUUAAACGAUAUCGGGAAUUAAAAAAGGAUCAUGUCCUAAAUUACUGGUCGUGAUCCUUUUUUUAAUCCAAGAUAGUUAAAUACCUUUUAAAUAAGUAAAUUUUUGACAUUUAUUCGUGUAUUGGGAAUUCGAGACAUUGUGUCCUAACUUACUGGAUAUGAUGCUUGUUUUUUCGAUUAACGUGAAAUAUGCCCCAUUCUCUCAAAAUUUUCAACAUUUUAAUUCAAGAAUUGUAUUUUUAAAAUUCUUCAAAGUUUUCAAUUUUCGACAUUAAGACGUUAACUAAUCAACUAGGUACCAAUUUUGAGCGUUACGAGGGUGCUAAUCCUUCCUCGUACGUAACUGACUCCCGAACCCGUUUUUCUGAAUUUCGUGGACCAAACUUGUUGUUUUAAUAAAAUCAAAUCAUUUAUUAAAACAACCACUUUUUGAGGUGAUCUGCUCACACCUCAUCAAAAAGGAUCGGUGGCGACUCUCAUUUUCGUUUUCAUUUGUCAAAACCCAAGUCGACCCCGUUUUGUCAAAAAAUGAUGUCAACAGCUAGUAAAUAAUCAUUCUCAUGGUUUUGCUUCGUAAAGCCAAUAGAUAAUUACUUUCAUAGUGUCGUUCCAUAGAGCUAGGGGUGAGUAAAACUUGAUUCGACUCGAAAAAUUCGAAAAAAAAUUUGAAUUUCGAGUUAAACGAAUCGAGUUAUUCGAGUUAAUCGAGUUAUUCGAAUCAACUCGAAUUUUUUUUCGAAUUUCGAGUUCGAAUCGAGUUGAGUUUUCAAAUUCGAAUAACUCAAAUAAUUCGAAUAAUUCGAAUAUAAAACUAUAAUAUUUUACAUUUUUACCCUAAACUCCCAAACCUUUUUACUUUUCCCUCAAAACUUUUACUCCUUUCCACUUUUCCCCCAAAACUUUUACUCCCCUCCCCUCUCAACCCCCCAAUCUACCCAAAAUCCAUUUCCCACCAAAAUUUUACUCUCCCAUUUAUUUUUUCUCAAAAUUUUACUCCCAAAAAACCCUCAAAACCUUUUAUUUUCUCCCAAAAUUUUUACUCCCUCCCACUUUUCCCCUAAAACUUUUAUUCCAUUCCCAUCCCACCUCCCAUCUACCCCAAACCGUCCCCCCUCCAAUUUUUUUAAUAUUUUCCCUCCAAAAUUUUACUCCCCCUAUUUACUUUCCCUCAAACUUUUAUUCUCCAAAACUUUUUAUUUUCCUCCUAAACUUUUACUUCUCACCCUUUACCCUCAAAUAAAAAAUCAAAAUUAUCCAAAAAAAAUUCACUAAACAUAAACAUAAAUAGUAAUAAUUUUAUUUAUAUCUACUAUUUAUAUUAUUAAAUUAAAUUUCACAUUUUAUAUUAUUUAUAUUAUUGAAUUGUUUAGUCAUAUUGAAGAUUUAUAUUAAAAUUGAAUUAUUAAUUAUGCCAUAAAAUAUUCGUGUUAAAAUUUUAUAUUGGUAUCAAUUUCACAUUUUAUUUUUAAAAUAACUUUUAUUAAAAAAAUCAUAUUUUUACAUUUAAUAUAUUUUUUAAUUCCAAAAUACAUAGUGACAAGAAUCUGAAGAUAAUUGAAACAACUAAGCAAGCAAAGAAGCUAACCAAUAUAUAAAAAAUUAAUAAAUAAAUUAUGAGGUGAUGAAAGUUAAUAAAAAAUUUGAUUAAGGUGGACAAAUUUUAUUACAAUGGGUGACAGUGGUUACAAGGACCCAAAAUUAUUUUUUUAAAAUUUAACUCGAACAAAUAUAUUCGAUUCGAUUCGAUUCGAAUUCCAUCUCACUCGACUCGAUUCGAGAAAACUUCAAAUAAAGUUAGGAUGAUGAAAUGAGAUUCGAAAACUCGAUUAACUCAAAAAUUUUCGAUUCGAUUCGAUCGAAUGCUCACGCCUACAUAGAGCCGGUAACCAUUUAUCUCACCAAACUUCCUCAAUUCCCUUUAAAUCUAUCCAUUCCUCCAAUACGUCAAUUUCCCUAUCUUCAACAACCCGCCAAACUAUUAUCAUAGUUCAGUACAUGGGUCAAAUUAUUGUAUAGAUUUUUUUACAACGAAUUAUUUAAUUAAAAGUAUCUCAAGUAUAGUGAUCACAUAAAAAUGGGAUACAUUAAAUCUUUUAAAAGUGAGUAUUCAAAUUAUUAGUGAAAUAAUUAUUGACUUAUCACUAGAUCAUACCUCUCGCUUGUAAACCUACCAUAUACCACAACUCGCAUAUAUAUCUUAAUUUCAACUAAGUUUAGUGUCCAUUUCCAUAUAAAAUAAAAAUAUUUUAUAAAACUAAAUUUUAUCAUAACGAAAAUAAUUUUAUAUUAAAAAUAUAUUUAUAAAAUUAUUUCAACAAAUAAUUAAAAGUGGAGUGGUAAGAAUUUUCUAUUUAAACUUGUUGAUCCCUAAAUAAUGUUAUUUAGUUGUUUUAUUUUAUAUGUUAUAUAAAGGUAUGAAAUAACAAAAAUACUCUUACAAUAAUGUUAUUUAGUUGUUUUAUUUUAUAUGUCAUAUAAAAGUAUGAAAAUAUGAAAUAACAAAAAUACUCUUAGAGUAAUAUUAAUAGCCCUUUAAAAUAAGGAUGUUUUAAUAAUUUCAUAACCAAAAUUGACUUGUGAACCUUUUUUAUAUAUAAUAGAUAUAUCACAUAAUGAGCUUAUGAGUUACGUCUUACAUAAAUUUGGUUGAACUUAACUAGACCUGAUCAUGCGUCGAGUCAGGAUGGGCUGAUUUUAAGGUGUUUAAGUUCAUUUUCUAGGCUUGGUCCAGCCCCAAAAAUGGGCAAAAAAUUUCGCCCAAGCUCGGCCCGAAUAAAAAAAAUGCUAAAUUCGAGCUUGACUUGGCCCACCUAUAUUAACUUUUUAAAAUUAUUUUUCAUAUUAUUUUUAAAAAAAUAUAAUACAUUAAAUACACUAAAAAUAUUAAAAUAAAUAUUUCUCAAUAUAUUGAAAAUACAUUAAAAAAGUCUUUAAUAUAUAUAACUAUAUGCAAUUAAUAUAAUUGUUUUCAUAAUGUAAUGCAUUUAGGCGGAACUAGGCUCGGGCAAAAAAAUCUUACCUGAGAUCCGGCCCAUUUAAAAAACAAGUCUUAAUUUUUGUCCAAAUUCAGUUUUCAAGUAUAUAUUUUUGCCUAAACCCUCCUAGAUUUCAAACGAGCCUUUGUGCCUAGGCGGGUGUCCUACCCAUAAUCAGGUUUAGAAAUGCUUAUGGCUCAGGUUCAGGCAAGGUACCUAAACCAAUUUUCCAAGCCCAAGCUCAACCCGACCCAAAAAAUAGGCAUGUUUUUUUGCUCAAGCCCGACUCAAUUUAAGAAAAGUAAAUCCAUGUCUGACUCGACCAUAUAUAAACUUUUUAGAUUAGUUUUUAUUUAAAAAAUAAAUUUUUAAAAAUAUAAUACACUAAAUGUACUAAAAAAACUAAAAUAAAAAUUUUCUAUAACAUUAAAAAUGCAUUAAAAAUAUUUAUAUUAAAAAAAAUAAUGUGAAUAUAAUAAAUAUUUUAUUAUAUUAAAAACAUAAAUAAAUAUAAUAAAUAUUUUAUUGUAUUAAAUAUAAUUUUUAAAAUUUUAUAUUUUAAGUUAUGUUAUUUAAUUGGAUAAGUUUUUUUUUUAAUUUUUGAGUAAUAAAAUUAAAUAUUAUUGAAUUACUGAUUUAAUAUAAAUAUAUAAUUAUUAUUUAACAUAUAUAUAUAUAACUAAUAUAAUAUUUUUUAUAACAAUAUAUAUUCUAACCAAGUCAAAUCGGACCAAAAAAUUCUCAACUAAACUCAACCAAUAUAAAAGACAAAGCUUCAAAUCUUAUCCAAAUUCAUCUUUGAGAACAUAUAUUUUGUACAAAGCCAAGCCUUAUUCGAACGGGCCUGUACCGAUGAUCAUGAGCAGGUCCAAACCCAACUUAACGGGACUCAUCAACAUCUCUCUAACCGAAUAAGAAGUGGGUAAAAUAAAGAAACAAAAUUCCAAUCAGAUUAAAGGCAGCACUAACAAAUACAGUGAAGAGGGAGCUCAGCUUUCCCAGCACAGCCAUGGCGAUUGUUCUCUCGAUUCAACACCUUCCUAAAAUGACCCUAAAUCCCAUCGCUGUCCUCAGCGAACCUCGCAAAACGAGAGUUCCCUAUGAGCUCAAACAAGGGCAGUCACGUGUUUUCCAUCAGCUCCCCUCUGGUUUAAACAUGGAGGUUAUCGUUCAAAAGAGUGUCAAAGAGAAAAACCCAGAUUCGAGAAAGGGUCCAUUCAGCUUGGUGUUGGGCUGAACAUUGGUUGCCUUUCUUCUCAAAUUCUGGGUUUGAUUGCUUUGCCCUUAGCUUGCUUGAUCAGGUUAUAUAAUCUUCUUCUUUCUCUUCCCGCUCUUUAACAUUUUACUUUCUCUUUUCUCUUUGAAGCUCUAUUUCGAGUUAAAUUUAUUCUAUCUUUAAGUACAUGGUUGGCAUUUCUCAAAUGCCCCCAAAACUUCUCCUGUGAAUUUUGAGGACACGUAAUUGUACCAAUCAGAGCAAGGGCAUUUUCUCAGUUUGAUCCUCUUGGAUCAUAUUUCAUCUGCCUUUAAAAUUCGGAACCUUAAGGUGUAAGCUUGACUGGCAAUUUUCUCGCCUUAUAUUUAAACAUAUUAGAAUAUUUAUGAAGUUUCACUUGCAUGAAACUUUUAUUCGAAAAUGCUGCACUGAUUUCAACACUGUUUCUGUGUUAUGGGUAGGGUGAAAGCGAUACGCCUUCCGGAACUGUUGCUGGUUCUCUUCAGGUAAUUGUCGUUUGGCUGGAAAAUAGAAAUGACAAUGUAUAAUGCAGUUUCGAACAUUUGCGGAUGUCCGAUCUUGUUGUUUGUGUAUUUAGAUGUUGUGCGAAUUCAGCACUAUCUACAAUAGAUUCAGAGCUGAUGCGGAUAUCAAUAGUCAAAUCUUUGUUAUUUGGAUCUGCUUUACUUUUGCAGAUAACGGAUUCAGAUCUCCAAAACUGUUAUACUGUAGUGAAUAAUGGAAUAAUGGAUUCGGAUUUGAAUAUCCGAAUCAUUAUCCGCUUUUCUUUUCGAUUUUUUUAAUUAAAAAGUUGUUUUGACUUGGUAAAUUUGAAUAUUCAGUGGAUUCGAGUAUUAGGCAAGUAAUGUUAUCUAAAUUGAAUUCAGAUAGGAUGGUAAUACUAAUAAUCGGAUUUAAUGUGGAUUAUAAACAGGUUAGAGUCUUAAAGCAAUUUUAUGGAUUCAGUUUUUACAAAAUUUGCAGAUAUCUAACUUCUUGUCACCCUAUUGAAAAAUAAUUCCUUUGACAUGAUAAUGCUUUUUCUUUUAUUUUUUUUUUAACUCUUUCUAAAAGCAAUUGAUUAUAUUAAAGGUUCCUCCUCUAAUUCGCUGUUCACUCAUAAUCCAUAGACACAUGCAGGUGAUGUUGCGGAUUUUAUCGAGAGGAACCUCAGCUUGCCGCCGGUUUUACUCGGACAUUCAUUUGGAGGCCUUAUUAUCCAGUAUUACCUUGCAAAUAUGAGAAAUGAACUACAUUAUGGUAAAUUCCUAUGCAUCUGGUUCUAUUAUUUUUCUUAAGUAUUCAUUUUUGACACUAAUAUCCAACACAUAUUCAUCUACAAGUACAGAGUAUGGUUUUUCAAAUAUGUGAAAAAACAGAAAAAUUUACCAUUCUGUAAUAGACGCAUAUCUAAUUUCAACAUUCAUCUCCGGUUUUGAGUGAUAUGGUGGUUUAUACUGAUGAAUAACAAGGCAUAAGUGAAAGUUUGUGUAGUGUAUAAGCAUUUCUUAAGCUAGAUUUACCUUUCCAAAGAUACGAGCCAUCAUUUCUUUUUCCCUUUUUUCAGUUGAGAAACUUUCAAAAUAGUGAUUGCAUUGGAUUCACAUCCUGAACAGAUAAGAAUCAUCAAUUCCUACUGUUUCAUAGUUGAGAAUCCUUUAUGAUAUCUACACUUUUCUCUAGAAAUCUUUUGAUUGAUUGUAAAUCAUGUUAUUGUUGGAUAUAGGUAUGUGUCUGACAAGGGUAUAUUCAAUUUUUGAACAUUUUUUUAAAUGUAUUUGUAGAGUUAUAUCAUACUCAUCCUAAUAAGUGUAAGCCACAUUUUGAACACGAAUACUUAAGAAAAUUGAAAAGUCGAAGAAACAUAGUUAUAAGUCAUAUAUGAAAUCUAGUUAUGUGCCACAAGGGACAUUGUAUGCACCCGCUUUGAAACUUGAACUGAUACAUGAGUUUCCAACUUCACCUUGGCCUUCUGAAGUGUGCAGUGUGCUUUGGAACACUAAAAGUCUUCAUUUCAUCAAAUUGGUCUUGAUUGAUUCAGUCUAUGUCGCACAAAUUCUUAUUUUUAUAUAGGGUAAACUACUUAGUUGGUCACCCAACUUUUAGGGCGUUUUCAUUUUGGUCACCCAAAGUGAAAUCCUUGCAAUUCGUCACGCAACUUUUAGGGUGCUUUCAUUUUAGUCACCCAACCGUUAAAUCUCUAACGGCGGUUACUUGCAUAUGCUAUAUCAUGAUCACACUUUCGUUUUGGUCUCUCAACUUUUAGGUCACCCAAAAAAACAUCUUUUUUUUUUUCAAGUAUUGAUUGGGGCAAAAAAAAAAGUUGAGGAUUAAAGUGAAAAAAUGGUAGAAACUAAAAUAAAAUAUUAAAAAUUUGUCAAAUUGUACUUGUUUAUCAUAUUGCUGAAAAUUCUAAUUUUUCUUUCAAUAUUGAAAUCUUAAAUUUCAAAACAUAAAAAUCAAUUAAAUAAAUUGUUGAAAAUUUUUUAUCCCUUGAUCAUAUUAAUAGGUUUGUUACUAUGAUAUUGAAGUUAAUUAAAUUAAUCUCCUAAAUUUUAAAUUUUUAUUUUAUGUUUUCAUAUUAUUCUUAAUGAAAUCAACUCGAUAACUCAUAUUUAAUAAUUGUUUACAAAACUUAAAUUUCUUUUGAUUGUAUAAUCUUUAAUCUUUUAUACCAAGCUAAAAGUAAAGAAAAAUAAUUGCAAUUAAUUAAAUUAAAUGUUCAUUCUUCAUUUACGUAAAGAAGUAAUAAAAAAAUUUUGGGUUUCGUUUGGUAUGGAAUAUAAAAUUAAUUAAUUUAAGUAAUUGUAAUGAUUUUUCUUUGUUUUUAGUUUAGUAUGAAAGACUCAAGAUCAUAUAAUCAAAAGAAAUUUGGGUUUCAUAUACAAUUAUUAAAGAUGAUUUAUUUGAGUUGACACUAUCAAGGGUUAAAAAAUUUUCAAUAACUUAUUUAAUUGAUUUUGAUGUUUCAAAAUUUAAAAUUUCAAUGUUGAAAAAAAUUUAGAACUUACGGCAAGAGGGUAAACAAGUAGAAUUUUUAAAGCAUUAUUUUAGUUUGUACCAUUUUUUCACUUUAAUCCGUAAUGAUUUUUACCUGAUCAAUAUUAAAAAGAAUGAUAUUUUCUAGGUGACCAAAAUGAAAGCAACUUAGAAGUUAGGUGACCAAAAUGAAAGUGUGAACGUGGUGUGUACCGGGUAACUGCCGUUAGAGAUUUAACGGUUGGGUGACUAAAAUGAAAACACCCUAAAAGUUGAGUGACGAAAUUGCAAGAACUUUAUUUUAGGGGACUAAAAUAAAAGCGUCAUAAAAGUUGAGUGACCUACUAGAUAGUUUACCCUUAAAUAUAUAUAUUUGAAAGUAUUCAAGUUUGACACUCUCACCAACACAUAGGUAUGGGAAUACGAGUUCGGAAAAGUUUAAAAAGAAUCUAACAAGACCCAUGUCAAACACAUAUCCGUAUCUGACACAACCGAGUCUGAAUAACAUAUUUAGUGAUCCUAGAAAAAGAGAGCAUUUUCUUACACUGUGUUUCUUCUUAUGCUGAUCGAAAUGUUUCUAGAAAUGCAAAAUUUGUACCCCAAACUUACAGGUGCUGCGUUAAUCUACUCUGCUCCUCCUUCGGGUAAUAGGUGAUUUUUCUUGCAAUCUAACUCUUAUUUUUCAUCGAAGUAACUUUCCAAUGCUAACUUUUACAAUUUUAUUCAGUGGCUUAGUGUGGCGCUAUCUCUUUUCCAAACCCAUUGCCGCUUUUAAGGUAAGCUUUUGGAUUUUGAGUACAUCAAUCUGAAAACAUGCCUUUCACUCUCUGUGUGGACUAGGAGUGUGAACAAGAAAUUUGAGUUCUCAAAUUAUUUGGGUUCAGUUAGGAAAAUUUGAAUUCAGCUUGGCCAUUGUCUAGCAGAACCCGAACUAUCAAACAAAUUGAAUUCAAGUAGUCAAGUUUUUCAUGAUGUCAUACAAUUUAUUUUUAAUUUUUGUUCCAUCCCCUAUGCAGGUGACUCGUAGCCUAGCUGCUAAAGCUUUUCAAACUUCGCUGUCCCUUUGUAGGGAGACCUUCUUCUCAGCUACAAUGGAGGAUAAUUUGGUGCUACGGUUUGUUUCAUGAACCUCCUAAUCAUAUAUAUGAACUUUCAUCUCUGUCUCUCUCACAUAAAUGAAUAAGAUAUUAAAUGGAAUUGUGAAGUUGCAAUUUUUCUGUUCAUAAUUGAUAAAAUCUCAUUGAAAAUCAAUUGUGCAACCACCUAUUAGUAAUGCAUAGCUAAGUGAUCCCAUGGAUAACUAUUGGUGAUAUCUAUCAACCAAAAAUAUAUAUUGGUAAUAUCUAGAGAAAGAUGUCUAGAACCUCAAGAAUAUCUACCUAAUUUCUUGAAAGCUAUGUUGCUCAGAUUUGGGUUUUAGUGUCAGAUACGGUAUGUUUUGAACUCAAGUAUAUUCAAUUGUUUAAAAUUUGGGGAGUCUUUGGAGAGUGAUAUCUCCAUACUCAUUCAAAUUUGCAUCACAUAUGGUUACAUUGCUUUAACUCUUCAUUAUUCUUGAAGUACCCUUGUUUGACACUCACGUUCAAUACAUAGUUGAUCGUAGGACAUGGGCAUGUGGAGAUAUGAACAUCCAAGGACCUUUCAAUUAUAUGGAAAAACCAGGAAAGAAAAUUGAACAUAAUCCUGUUAGACAUAUAUCUGUAUCUAACACUUUACAUCCAAGUUCGAGUGACAUAAAGGCACGGAUGCUUCAAAAAAAUAACGAGUCUGAGCAGAAUAGCUUGAUAGAAGGAUAUAAAUCUUCUUAUCAGAAUAACAUUUCACACUUACUAAAGAAAAGGUUAAUAUUGUUUUCACACUACAUGCUUAUUCCAAUGUACCAAAAAUUGUAUUGCAAAUCAACUGAAAUUGUUGACUCAGCCUUUUGACUUUUUUUCCCUCUUUCAGUUAUCAGGAGCUAAUGAAAGAAAGCUCGAGGGUGCCAUUGUUUGAUCUACGGAAGUUGAAUGAGUCACUUCCUGUGCCUAAAAUGACUGACUGUUCAACUGAAAUUCUUGUGUUGGGUGCAAAAGAUGACUUCAUUGUGGUAAAUCCUGUAUAAAUUAAUUUAUGCAUUUCUGAUUUUCCAUCAUGCUUUCCUUUUUCUCGUAUCUUAUAUCAAAGGCUGCAAAUAUAUGAGAAUAUUGUGCAUAUAAGAAAAGUUACGUGGUCGUGCCUGGGAUCUCUGUUACUUGGACCUAUCAGAUACUAGUAUGUGUCUGACAUGAUUAUGUACAAUUCUCCUUACCAUACCCGAAUAUGCAUUGAAUAUGGAGUCCAACACGGGUAUUUCAAAAAAUAAAAUGUACAGUCGGAGUAUCAUAGUAUGAGAUUAUUACUUUAGAUCAUUUUAGGACCCCUUCUCCUUGUUUAUAGAUGGAUAUAUCAUAUAUGUAAAUGUAGGACGCAGAAGGACUCAAUGAGACUGGGAGAUUUUACAAUGUGAAAUCGAUAUGUAUCGAAGGAGUUGCGCAUGACAUGAUGUUGGAUUGUUCGUGGGGGGAAGGUGCUAAUGUCAUACUAUCAUGGCUAAAUGGUUUGAACAGAUAACAGUCUAAAAUAUCCAAAUUUGUAUUAUCCAUUCUCAUCACCAAGUUUUUUUUUUUUUUUUGCAGUUUGGUCAUUGUUAGGGUAUAUUCAAAUUUUAUGUUACACAAUAUUAGGGUUCAUUUCAGGCAUUUUUUUUUAUUCUUUUUGAAAGAUUUUUUGCAAUAAUUUAUUUGAGCAGCAAAAAGAAAAUGCCUUUUUAUAACUAACCCAAUGUUUAGCCCAUUUGGUUUAUAAACCCACCUUUUAGGUGAUGUUUAAACAUUGGUUAACAUUUCCCUCGUUGGGUUAAUUCGUUGGGUUAAUUCGAGGGUUUAUGCGGAAGACUUAUAAGGAUAUUACACAAGUAAAGGAAAGUUUUACAAAGAAAAGCUAAAAAGGAAAAAGAUACUAUAAAAGAUUGAUGCCUAUGCAAUUGAUUUCCUUCCUUUAUUUAUAGUUGAAUUUCUUAAUUCUAUACAAUUGUUUUUUGAAUCCCACACAGUAUUCCUGAUAAAGAUCCUAUCUUUUCGUGGAUGUGGUUAUUUUCACGUUGUACUUCUUUAAUUGCCUGCACUUGGUUGCUUUCAGGUUGCAUGGUUGAAUUGAUUGUAAUCUGACAUCAUUAAUGGUUGCUUUCAUCAUUGAUUGCGUCAUAGUUGUUUUGUUGUGUUCAUCUUACAAACUUUUUUGUUUGUUUGUGGUUGUCACAUCAUAAAUUUUAUGUUGUCAAACUUUUUGUUUGCUAGUGGAUGCCUUUCUUUUUGAGUUGCUUCCUUUCUUGGUAUCAGUCUUUUUUGGUUUUAUUCUUCUUUGAUGUUGUCUAGAUUCAUUUCUUCAAUUUCAUCCAAAUUUAAUGAAUCAAAUGAAAGUCUUGGUGAAUUCCAGUUCUCCCAUGUGCUUCUGAUUUUUUUCAGAAUGUGAGAUGGAAAAUCUUCAAUUUCUAUGUCGGCUAUCUUUUUUAAAAGUCUCAUGAAUUCUUCAUCUCUUUCUUCAGAAUGAUAUGCUAAAGAAUGAUAUGCCAAUAUUCUUCUACCAUCGGUCCAGAGUCUAUAAUCUUUUUAUUGAAGGAGAUAUUUGACUUUAGCUAUUAAAUCAAUCUCGGUUUGGGUUUGAUAAUAAUCUAAAUCAUUGUGACACCUGUCAAUUAUUGUUGCCAAGUGUUCUUUAUUUUCUUUAACAGUAGAUAACUGAGGGCUUGCAAUUAUCUUCUAAAUAAUCCAUAUUUGAUAAGGCUGAUAAUUUUUUUUCAGCAAUACUAAUAAGACUGCAUAUUUGAAUAUAAAAAUAGUAAAAAAAGUCAUCAUUUUGUAUGAUGCUUGAUAAUGCCGUUUUAACAACUGGAAAAUCUUUUAAAAGAUGAAAAGAAAAAUUUUGUAUUAUUAUUUCUUUUAUAAAAUUCCAUUCAAUACUGGUUAUAUCGAACGAUUCAUGAUCUAAUCUAAAUUUGAUAGUAGGAAUCUCUUCUCCUAUAUCAUUAGUAAAAAUAUAAGCUUGUAGAAAAUAUUUUGAAAAUACUUUUUUAAAUAGAGCUUGCUAUUUGCAAAGGUCUCCAUUUAUUUUGUUAAAUAUUUUUAUAGGUAAAAUAUUUCUAGCUUUAUUGUAUAAGCAUAUUCUAAAUUCUUUAUUCAUAAUGAGACUAUUUUUCGUUUUAUCAAUAAAAUAUUAAAAUAUAUCAAGAAGAUUGUUUAUUUCUUUAAUUUCCAUAAAAUAUAUUUGGAAUUCAUCCUAAUCCCUAUAUAAAAUAGAUUUUAAUAGUAAAUCUUCAGCUUUAUUUUCUUUAGUUGUUUUUUUAACUAAAAAUAAUGAAUGCUUACUAAGAGCUCUUGUGAAAUUUGCUCUUUGGUCAGAAACAUGAGUUUUCCAUAUUUCAUAGUAAACUUGUGAUAAACUAGGAUUAUAAAAAUCUUUUAUCUCUUGAAUUUGUUAUUGUUUCAACAAAUUCUCUGCUCCCUUAAUCAUAUCAGCAUAGUUGGCUUGAAAUGCCGAAUUUGGAUUUUGGGAUCAUUGUGAUUGACUUACCAUUUUUUGUGUAAAUGAUAAAGAAGUUCCAAUAGGUUGAUUUACCAUUGGAUAAGGCACACAAUAUCCUUGAUUAGGAUAAAAUGGUACUUGUGCAGGUACAAAUCAUUGUUUGGAAUUUGUUGUUAUUUUCCCUUUGUUGGGUUUUAAUGAACAGUCGUCCAUUCUCUAACUAUUUCUUUUAUUAGAGGUUUUUUACCUCUAUUCAUAAGGCCUGCUAAGAUAAUCAGCAAUAAUGUUAUCAGUACUUUUUACAUAUAAAACUCCAAAAUUAAAAGUAAAUAAUUCGUUAUACCACCUAAUUUUUUUAGGUACAGUUUUCAAACUUUUAUUAGUAAGGAAUUGUUUGACUGCUUGAUUAUCAAUUUUUAUAAUAAAAUUUUUAGGUGCCAAAUAUAUAAGGUAAUUUUUUAUUCCUUUUUUUAUUGCUAAUAAUUCUUUUUCUAUAUAAUAUAAUUAAUUUCAUUUGCUUUAAAUUUUCUAAAACUAUAUCCACAUAUUAAUUCGUCAUUAUUGACUGUUUUAGCUAUUAAAACACAUCCCCAAUAAUUUUGUGAUGCGUCUGUUUCUAGAAUUAAUUUAUCUCAUUGUUUAGGUAAAUAUAAAUUUAGAAUUUUAUUUAUCUCAGAUUUUAGAUUUUUUACAAUUUCUGAGUUUUUUUAGAUCAAAUGAAAGGUUUUUCCUUUUUUUAUUUAUCAUAUAACUUACCUAUUUUUUCAGCUAAAUUAGAAAAGAAAUUUCUUCCGUAGUUAAUAAUUCCUAAAAAUUGAAGUUGUUUUUUGUCUUCAAUAUUUUUAGGAAAUUCUUUUAUUUUUAUUAUAAUAUGGUCUUGUAGUUGAAGACCAUUUACAGAUAGUCUUAAUCCUAAAAUUUCUAUUUUUGUUUUUUCUAGCUCUAUCUUUUUAGGGUUUAAAAUAAUUCCAUAUUUUAUGAAUUCUUGAGAUAUAAUAUUUAAAUCUUUUCUAUGUUUCUCUAAUGUAUCAGAGAAAAUUAAAAUAUCAUCUAUAUAAACUACACAAAUUUUUUUAUAUUUAUUAAAUAUAGAAUCCAUCCAUCUUUGGAAGAUUUGUGGUGCAUUACAUAACUCAGAUGGCAUUACUCUCCAUUGAUAAUGUCCAUUAGGAGCACUAAAAGCUGUUAAAGGUUUUGAUUCUUCAGUUAGCAUUAUUUGCUAAAAUCCCAAUUUAUAAUUAAAUUUACUAAAAUAUUUUACUUGUUUAGAUUGAUUUAUUAAAAUAUCUUUUUUUUUGGAAUAAAAUAUCCAUAAAAAAUAAUAUUUUGAUUUAUUCUUUUAUAAUUAAUAACCAUUCUAACUUUUCCUCUUUUUAUUUUAGCAUGGUUUCUUACCAUAAAAGAUGGACUAGAAUGCGGACUAUUAGUUUUUUUAUUAAAUAUUUUUCUAAUAAUUCAUUAAUUUGAAUGUCAAAUUCAUCUAUAUCUUGUUUAGUAUAGAUCGUAGGUUUAACUCUAAUAAUUUUAUUGAGAUUUUUCAAUUUAAUUUCAUAGUAUCUAGGACUAUUUUGCCAUAAUUUUAAUGGUUCUUCACUAAAAUUAUCCUCUAAAAUUUUAAACAACCAAUGAUUUCUUUCUAGUUGUUUAAUCUGCUCUUUUCUUGGUGGUGUAAAAUUUUUAUCACACACAAACUUAUGGUUUUCUACCAAUGGUAUUUCUAUAGAAGAUUUUUCUAUAGUUAAUCUAACCGAUUUUUUAUCAAUAGAAAAUGGUAAAUGUUGAUAUAUAAAAUUAUUUCCUAAUAAUAUGUCUCCAUGCAUUUCAGGGGAACAUAAAAUUUUUGAUAUUACAAAUGUAACAUUACAUUAUUUAUGUAGAUUGGUAUAUUUUUAGCUUUAUAUUCAAUUAUGGUUUCAUUACCAUCUAUCCCUAUUGCCUUUAUAGGAUGUCUUAUAGGUUUCCAUUUUUCUACAAGAAUAACAUUUUUUCUACAACUACUGGUUGUAGCUCUAAUAUCUAAUAAAGCAUGUAAAGAAUAUGUUUUAUAUUCUCUAAAUUGAAAUAUAAUUUCAAUAUAUGUAUAAUAUUUCUUUGAUUGAAAACUUGAGAAUGUAAUUAUAUCAUUUUUUUUUCAACUUUUAGUUGUCUAAUAAUUGUUGAAGUUUGUAUUUCUUCCAAUCUAGUUUUUCUAGAUUUUUUAUCUAAUUUUUCUUUUACUCUUAUUUUAUCAAAAUAACUACAAAAUUUUUGGAUAAAUAUUAGUUUUUUUAUCAGUAUAACCACAAAAUUCUGUUUUUAGAAUAAGAGUUAAUCCUUUUAAAAGGUCGUUGAGAGUUUCUAUUUGGUUGAUUAACUGGCUUUUUUGUUCUUUUCCUUUCUCAGAUUCUUCUGUAGAACAUCUCUUUGAAAUGUUUCUACAAAGUAGUUUAAAAAAUUUUCUUUUGACCAUGUAUUGUUGUUUACUACAAUAGUCAUAGACUGUGCCCAAUCAUCUAUGAUUUUUUCAUAGUUCGAUAUAGGAGUAUUGGUUAAGUCUAAAUAUAUUCCUCAUUGAGCCACAUUUCUUUUAUUUAAAUUAUCUAUUCUUUGAUGAAUAGGUUGACUAGACGUUUCUCCUGGAUAUUCAGGUUUUACAUCAUUUGUAGCUAUAUUUUCGAUUUUAUUAUAAAAAAUCCUAGUUGUAUUUUUUACUUUUUCAAAAUCUUUAUUAAAAGUUAUCAUAUAAUCAUCUUUUUGAAGAUCUGAUUCUAUUUUUCUUUUUCCAUAAGGAUCUAUUUGUUUAGUAUCCAUAAGUUCUGGGAUAUCUAUAUUUUCAUCCUCAUCAAUUGAAGUGUUUUCUUCAUCUGAUUUAUAACUAGUAACUUUUAAAUUUUCUAGAUUUGUUUCUAAAGUUAAUUCAGAAUUACUAGAACUACUACUGUCUGUAGUGUCAUAGUUCAUAAUAUAAUGAUAAUUAAACAAAGUAAACAAAUCUUUAUGUUCUUCAUAAAGUUGUUCAAUAAGUUUUAAAUAUUCUACUCUUUCUAAUUUAUCUUUACUAUUAGUAAAUUUAUAUUUCCAAUGUUCUAUAAGUUCUUUAUAGGACUAGAAAUCAUAUUUUUAUUGUUUUGUAUAUUUUCUUUUUUUAUGAUUUUUAUGUUUUUUAUGAUUAGAUGACGAUUCAUCUGAUGAAGUUUCUUCUUCUUCAGAUAAAGUUACUAUUAUGUCACUAUUACCAUAAUAUAAAGGACCUAAAUCUACUUCUUGAUUUAUAUUAUUAUUAUUAUUAUUAUUAUUAUUAUUAACUUUUUCUAAGUUAUAAUUAACACUAGAUAAUAUUUCUUUAGAUUUGCUAUUCAAAUCUAAAUUUUUUACUUCUCCUAAAAUAUUUACUUUUUGUUCUCUAUUACUAACCUUAUUAAAUAAUUUAUGAAAAUAUACAGAAGUUAUAUCUACUAAACUAUUAAAACCCUUACUCAGAGAUGAAAUGUUAUUUUCAUUCUUAGAGUCUAUAUGCAUAGUAUGAUUACAAGUUUUAUCUUUAUAUAAACAGUCAAUUUCCUUUAUAUUAUUUAUCUCAAGUACCUAAAACCGUCUGUUAUCUAUAAUGUCUUCUCUCAAAGGCCUACACGUCCUCCUUGGGCUCAACGGCAACAGAAAGACAAAAUAACUGAUAUAUGGGUUUUGAGACAAAUAAGCAUAAAAUAAACAACACUAUAAAUUAAAGAUAAAAACUUACAAUGAAUACUAUGAUAUUAUUUCUCCAAGAAAUCGUUAAACCGGCACCUCUGAUAUUAUAAUAGUUGUUCUUUUAGAUAAAAGAUUUGAAAAUUCAAUAAAAACACUUAUUGGAGGAAUUCAGUCUAAUUUACAUACAGGUGUAAUAAGAUUUAAGGUUAAACCAAAUUACUUUAUAUCCAUUACAGAUCCUCUAAUAGAAGAGUGUCUAUGCCUUAGAAUUCAGACAAAAAAUUCUGAUAUUAAUGAUUUAGCAGAAGAUCUAGCAAUAAGUUGGACUUCUAUUAAUGAAUAUACAAAUACAACUGAAGUACAAAUAAAAGAAAUUAAUAACAAAAUUAUUGAACUUUUUGAACCUAAUAAAUUUACUAUCGAGAUACAGUCAAAACUAUUUCAUUUAAGAGAUCUAUCAAUACCAAAAGACUAGAUGAUAGAAAAAAUUAGUAGUGCAAGUACUUCUACACCAGUAAGUACUAUAGAAUAUAUGUCAUCUGGAAAUAGAUUAUAUUUUAAAAAUAAUACUAUAACAAAUACAGAUGAAAAUUUAAUGUUACCCUCAAAUAAUCCAAUAGAGGAAGAUGAGGAUAAUAUUAGUAAUAAUUCUACACCAAUAGGAAAAAUAGUACAUAUUCCUAUUUUCCUUACAGAACCAAGUAAAAAUUAUAGAAAUACUAGAAUGGAAGAAAUUCAAACUUCAGCAAUUGUUAAACCAAUUAAUGUUGGAAUAUAUAUUGAAAUUACAUUUCAAUUUAGAGAAUAUAAAAAAUAUUCUUUACAUGCUUUAUUAGAUACUGGAGCUACAAUUUGUAGUUGUAAAAAAAAUGUUAUUCCGAUAAAAAAUUAGAAAUUAAUGAAGCAUCCUAUAAAAAUAGUAGGAAUAGACGGUAAUAAAAUCAUAAUUAAUUAUAAAGCUAAAAAUAUACCAAUCUACAUAAAUAAUGUUAGAUUUGUAAUACAAAAAAUUCAAUGUUUCCCUAAAAUGCAAGGAGACAUAUUAUUAGGUAAUAACUUUAUAUGUCAAUAUUUACCAUUUACUAUUGAUAAAAAAUCAAUUAGAUUAACUAUAAAAAAUCUUCUAUAGAAAUACCAUUAGUAGAUAAUAAAAUUGUGUAAUAAAACUUUUACACCAUUAAAAGAAUAAAUCAUGUACUUUUAUAAAGUACUAAUAAUUUGUUGAUUAUCUUAGCAGGCCUUAUGUAUAAAAGUAAAAAAAAAAUCUCUAAUAAAAGAAAUAGUUGGAGAAUAGACGACUGUUCAUAAAAAGCCCAACAAAGGAAAAAUAACAAUAAAUUCCAAACAAUGAUUUGUACUUGCACAAGUACCAUUUUAUCCUAAUCAAUGAUAUUAUGUGCCGUAUCCAAUGGUAAAUCAACCUAUUGAAACUUUUUUAUCAUUGACACCAAAAAUGGUAAGUCAAUCACAAUGGUCCCAAGAUCCAAAUUCGGCAUUUUAAGCCAGCUAUACUGAUAUGAUUAAGGGAGCAGAGAAUUUGUUGAAGCUGUUGAAACAACAACAAAUUCAAGAGAUAAAAGAUUUUUAUAAUCCUAGUUUAUCACAAGUUUACUAAUGAAAUAUGGAAAACCCAUGUUUCUGACCAAAGAGCAAAUUUCAGAAGAGCUCUUAGUAAGCAUUCAUUAUUUUUAGUUGAAAAAACAACUAAAGAAAAUAAACCUGAAGAUUUACUAUUAAAAUCUAUUUUAUAUAGGGAUUGGGAUGAAUUCCAAAUAUAUUUUAUGAAAAUUAAGGAGAUAAGCAAUCUUCUUGAUAUAUUUUAAUAUUUUAUUGAUAAAGCGAAAAAUAGUCCCAUUAUGAAUAAAGUAUUUAGAAUAUGCUUAUACAAUAAAGUUAGAAAUAUUUUACCUAUAAAAAUAUUUAACAAAAUAAAUGGAGACCUUUGCAAACAGCAAGCUCCAUUUAAAAAAGUAUUUUCAGAAUAUUUUCUACAAGUUUAUAUUUUUACUAAUGAUAUAGGAGAAAAGAUUCCUACUAUCAAAUUUAGAUUAGAUCAUGAACCGUUCGAUAUAACUAGUAUUGAAUGGGUUUUAUAUAAGAAAUAAUAGUACAAAACUUUUCUUUUCAUUUUUUAAAAAAUUUUCCUGCAGUUGUUAAAACGACAUUAUCAAGCAUCAUACAAAAUGAUGACUUUUUCUAUUAUUUUUAUAUUCAAAUAUGCAGUCUUAUUGGUAUUGCUGAAAAAGAAAAGUUUUAUCAGCCUUAUCAAAUAUGGAUUAUUUAGAAGAUAAUUGCAAGCCCUCAGUUAUCUGCUGUUAAAGAAAAUAAAGAACACUUAGCAACAUACAAAAUGAUGACUUUUUCUAUUAUUUUUAUAUUCAAAUAUGCAGUCUUAUUGGUAUUGCUGAAAAAGAAAAGUUUUAUCAGCCUUAUCAAAUAUGGAUUAUUUAGAAGAUAAUUGCAAGCCCUCAGUUAUCUGCUGUUAAAGAAAAUAAAGAACACUUAGCAACAACAAUUGACAUGUGUCACAAUGAUUUAGAUUAUUAUCAAACCCAAGCUGGGAUUGAUUUAAUAGCUAAAACCAAAUAUCUUCUUCAACAAAAAGAUUAUAGACUCUGGACCGAUGGCAGAAGAAUAUUGGCAUAUCAUUCUGAAGAAAGAGAUGAAGAAUUCAUGAGACUAUUAAAAAAGAUAGCCGACAUAGAAAUUGAAGAUUUUCCAUCUCACAUUCUAGAAAAAAUCAAAAGCACAGGGAGAAUUGGAAUUCACCAAGACUUUCAUUUGAUUCAUUAAAUUUGGAUGAAAUUGAAGAAAUGAAUCUAGACAACAUCAAAGAAGGAUAAAGCCAAAAAAAACUGAUACCAAGAAAGAAAGCAACUCAAAAAGAAGGGCAUCCACUAGCAAACAAAAAGUUUGGCAACAUAAAAUCUAUGAUGUGACAACCACAAACAAACAAAAAAAAGUUUGUAAGAUGGACACAACAAAGCAGCUAUGAUGCAAUCAAUGAUGGAAACAACCAUUAUUGAUGUCAGAUUACAAUCAAUUCAACCAUACAACCUGGAAGCAACCAGGUGCAUGAAAUUAAAAAAGUACAACAUAGAAGUAAUCACAAUCACAAAAAGAUAGGAUCCUUAGCAGGAACACUAUGUAGGAUUCAAAAAAACAAUUGUAUAGAAUUAAGAAAUUCAACUAUAAAUAAAGGAAGGAAAUCAAUUGUAUAGGCAUCAAUCUUUUAUAGUAUCUUUUUUUCCUUUUUAGCUUUUCUUUGUAAAACUUUCCUUUCCUUUACUUUUGUAAUAUUCUUAUAAGUAUUCCGCAUAACCCCUCGCACUCUACCUUCCCCAGAAAUUGGUAUUAGAAUUUAACUAAAAACUCGUUAUAAAAUAAAUAAAUAUUAUUAGAGUUAUAUGAAUAAUUUAACUUUUUUGAAAGAAAAAAAAUGCCUCUUUUCCAUUUGAAAAAUCAAUACGUAUGAUAUUAUAAUCAGGCACUUAAUUCUUUUUAUUUUUCACGGUUGCGUCAUUGGGAUCUAACCGGUUUAAUUUUUAAAGCUAUAUAUCAUACCAUAAAAAUAGUAUUAAAAAAUACAACUCAAUAUUGGGAGUGAUUUCAGUUAUUUAUUUAUAUAUUAACAGAAUAUAUAUGCAGGUCCUAAAAUUACAUUAUAACCAUAAAAUGGCAGCAAAAGAAAGCAUAAAUAAAUGAAAAUAAAUAAUUUAUUUUACUCACUAAGGCUGCUGAAUGAUAAUGGCAGUAGGCGCCGGCAGUGUUCAUAAAUUCAUAGACCAUGAAAGAACCUGCUGUUGAUCCCCGCCCUAUAAAGUUGCAGCUCAGAUGUAGCCGCAGUAAUGACGAGCUCUGUGUUGGCUGGUUCGAACACCACAUCUCCUUCGGUAACAAUGCCUUCCCAACAUCCAGUUUUCAUUGUUCCUUCCCCAACAAAUGCGAGGAAGAUUGAAGGACCCGGGACGGCCGGGAAAACCACUGACGACCCCUUCGGAAGAACGCAACGAUCGACCUCAAACUCAUCAAACGGUGGGAGGUACCUUGUUAUGUAAGGACUCAAUGCAAGUCCCGAAAGGAUUUCAGGGUAGCCCUGCAACAUAAACGAUAUUAUGUUCUGAUUUUUAUUAGUUUUAUAUUAUAUUUUUAAUUCCAAUUAAAAAAAUCACCUUUUCUAAGUUUAGUUUUUUGGACAUGUCUACUUGAAGGUAAUUAAGAGUUAUAUUCUGACAUUCAUAUUUAGAUGUGUUGGGUAGUCAUUGUACCUGGUUAUAGGUGAGCAUAGAACAGAGGGUUUGGAUAUCACGAUGCUUGGGAGUGAGACCAGCUCGGACGACAUUGUCGGAGGUUGCCAUGCAUUCAACGCAGUCGCCACUUAAAUAAGCGUGGGGCUCAUUGGCCGCCAGAUACAAAGCUUCCCCUGGCUUAAGUUUCACGUAAUUGAAGAAGAAAGCCGAUAACACACCUAUGUCUCCGGGGUAUUGCUUUUCCAACAGCAACACCAACUCUUCUUUCUCCGUCAGACUCCUCAACUGUUGCCCAUAAAGCACAAAGAAAUAAACGGCAUAUGAGCAACAAUAUAGCUUCAAGUAGCAGUUAUCUUAAUGCCUAAUUUGAAUAGCUUGCGGUCCUAAUCAAGCACCAAUAAUCAAUGUUUAAGUUGAGCAUGGAAAUUGAACUCUUUGUCAGUUUUAAAAAUAAGUGAUUGAUAAUGAUGAAAUUAGUGCAGACCUGACUUUGUAGGAGUAGCCGACUUUUAAGUUUGGAUAUAGCUUUCGUGGUCAUCUCCUUGCUUGCAGACAUAAGUUGCGUAAAAACCGACCGCAGAGCAGUUUUAGCUUUGUCGGCAUUAUCGCCACCUCGCUCGUCAAUAUCCAUGACUUGCUUCGCCGAUGCAGUGCCGACCAAUUCUACUAUCUCCGGAACAUCUUCAAGCACUUCCUUAAGCUCCUGCGAGGAAAAAAGAACCCAUAUGGAUAGACAUUUGCCUCAAAUAGAUGAAUAUAGUUGACAGAAUCAUCGGAAAAUGAAGCAUAGUUUGAGCAUGUUACUUCUUUGACCAGAGUGACAAGACAAAAAGAUUGCUUUCUGUGAGUGAGAUUAGUUAAUGUAAUAAUAAAUUUAAAAUUAGUGGUGGGAUAUGUAUUUAAAUUUAAACAUAAUCAUGGUAAAAAUAGAGAAUACGUAUUAAAGAAAUUUAAGUUAAAUUUUAUGUAGAUAUAAAAUAAAUCCUUGGUAAUAUAAUUUUAUAUAUUUAAAUUGCAUUUAUGCUAAAUAAUAAUUUUAUUGAUAAAUAACUAAAAUUUUAUAAUAAUUCAUGUCUGUACUUAUUUUUAAGGCAUGUGAAGUGUGUGUAUAAUCCACCGGAGGGUGUGCUUUUACCAACAAUAGGUUCCUGCUCCAACGAGAAAUAAGAGCAGUGGUUAGGUAGCCCAAUUUCAGCACUCGUCCAAAUCAUAUUUUAACACCAAUGAUCAUAAAAAAUUAAUAAUAAUAAACUACAUUAUCACUCACUAAAUUAUAUCUAAGUUUACAUUUUUUUAUUACUAAAUUAUUCAAAAGUUUUUCACAACACUAUUAAAAUCAAAGCUAUAUAAUUUUCUCUGUUCAUGUUGCUUACACCUACUCCUCGGAGCUCGUUAAUAGAAUAUUUUUAAAAACAGACUUAAUAAUUGAAUGAAUUAAAUAAAAACUUUUUAAAAUCAAAUUAUUAUAAGUUAAAAGAGAAGGAUUCACCUGGAGAGUAAUGAAGCCACAAAGUGCCUUGAACUCAGUUAUAGCCAAAGCCAUCUCAGGUUUGUGAUUAGCAUCUUUGUACAGAUUGGGCUUCAUCUUAUGCAAUUCUUUGGCCAAUUCUUUAUCCGGAUGCGCCUGUAUUGACAGUGCUUUCCCCACUGACAGUACCUAUUUUUACACCAUUUCUGCUUUUAUUUCAUUUUAUU